GAUAAACGCUGGCGGCGCACAUAAGACAUGCAAGUCGAACGGACUUAACUCAUUCUUUUAGAUUGAGAGCGGUUAGUGGCGGACUGGUGAGUAACACGUAAGCAACCUGCCUAUUAGAGGGGAAUAACAGUGAGAAAUCAUUGCUAAUACCGCAUAUGCUAACAGUAUCGCAUGAUACAGUUAGGAAAGGAGUAAUCCACUAGUAGAUGGGCUCGCGUCUGAUUAGCUAGUUGGUGGGGUAAUGGCCUACCAAGGCGACGAUCAGUAGCCGGACUGAGAGGUUGAACGGCCACAUUGGGACUGAGAUACGGCCCAG
This 316-nucleotide ribosomal RNA is filed under the name uncultured bacterium. Its description in RNAcentral is "bacterial SSU rRNA". It matches the Rfam family "Bacterial small subunit ribosomal RNA", at positions 28 to 334 of the family's 1533-position model. The record is from RNAcentral.